Molecule: long non-coding RNA, 441 nt
Organism: Magnolia sinica
Lineage: Eukaryota; Viridiplantae; Streptophyta; Magnoliopsida; Magnoliales; Magnoliaceae
Exons: 2
Source: RefSeq, a predicted model, not a curated record
AUGGUUCGCCAUCUCUUCAUCGGUUGCCACAUGGUUUGGAAGGAUGGUUUCUAAAUCUCCUUGAUAUGAUUGGAAUUUCCAGGAAAAUCUCAGUGCUGCCUCUUCAAGUUGGGGGAGAGGUCUCUUUAAAGAGGGGUGGGAUUCCUUUUGAGAAUGCUUCUGAUGGCCCUUUUGAUGGAAGUUUAGAAGGAGAAAACAACCAGAAUUUAGUGAUAAGGUCCCUUCGGUAAAAAUUAACGAAUGGUGAAGCAUCUCAUCCCAUCUUUGUGCUGUGUUGGAGUUGGCCAUUAGGAGGGUGGUGGGAGCUUAAUUCCAAUGGUUCCUCUCAAGGUAACCCUGCCCCCCAUGAUUUGGGCGGUGUAUUACUUGAUGAUAAGGACAACAUACCUUUCAAUCGAAAAAGGAAAAAAUAAGAAGAAGAAGAAGAAGAAGAAGAAGAAA